AAACAUUCAUUCAAUGCAUUGUUUGUUAUUUAUGUACACUCAUCAAAUGCAUAAACAAAUCAGGCUUGAAAAAAAAUCAAAUUCUGCUGGUUUUAAAUCCCAGUAUCUGAAUUUGGUGGAUCUCAAAGGUUGUUUUUGAGUUAAGACCUGACAUGACAUGACGUGACAUAACAGACAAUCUGAUACAGUGUCCAUAACAACAGUUCAUUGUUAUGGACACUGACUGCGAUUGAGAUUGAUGUUAAUAGGACAAAAAUUACAAUGUCAAGUCUUGCUUAAAUGAUAGAACAAGGUGGGGUAUAGACACGUUCUGAACUUUUUAUUUGUGUAAAAUACGUGAAUGUCUUCAUCAUUAAAUAUAGCUUUAGAAAGCUUGUUCAAUAUCUAUUCUUUCAAUAACAUAAUUGAAACACUUUGUAAAUACAUUCAACUAGAAAAGUACACUAAGUAAAAUAUUGAAUUUGGUCAACCAGCUACCCCUAUAUCUAAUUGAAUUACUUUUGUAACUUCAAUUGUGUAGUACUUACGAAAGAAAUUUGAUUAUUUAAAUGGGACAAAUGGAAAACUAAGUUACUUUUCUAUUAUCUUAUUGCUUAGAAGUUUUUAAAAGAACGCUUAAAAUAAGAGAUGAGGUCAAAUAUAAACAAUUAGAUCAGGUUGAACACAUGGUUUUGUGAAAGUUGUUCUCACUUUUCAUCCGUUAAUCACGGAAAAGGCUUUGUAUUAAAAGGGGAAAUUUAGGUCAGAACAAUGUAACCAAUAAACUAUACCAAUACAUGCUAAAUUUGGUUUUGUUUUAGGUUUUAGAUUUUCCAAAGUUUGAUCAUAUGCUCUCUGCUUUUUAAAAGUUGGUUUUGGUUUGUAUCAACUUUGUGAACUUGAAAAGGGACUAUGUUUGUCAAAUAAUAAAAACUUGGAUUUGUGUUGAGUUAAUGGUUGGAUUUUAUACACCCACAUUCCUCUUUAGUAAUUACAAAAUAUGGGCGAUUAAAAAUAUAUAGGGAACUAUUCACACCUCAUUAUUUUGGGCUUUUUGAACUAUUCACACCUCAUUAUUUUGGGUUUUUGUUCAAAUACGAUUUUAACAGAGAGCACAGUAACACACUAAUUGUUGAAGUUUUUACGGAGGAGGGAGUCGUUCCCACUAAACCCACUGCAACAUCAGCUUUUCUCUUUGAUUUUUCUUCAUUUUUCCGAACCCACAACACACGAAAAUCCUAUCUUUCUCAAUCCACUCAACCCACUCAAUUAAAAAAAUAUACAAAAUAAUCAAGGUAAAAUCUUAAUUAGCAAUAGAGUUACCGUCGGUACCACUUCCUCUUCGGCGGGUUGUUUAAUUGGUUUCACGAACCCACUUCAUCCUCUCUCUACUUUCUCUCUCUCAUUUUCUCUUGUACCAUAUGUUUUAAGACUUGUAUCUUAGUUGUUUAGUAUUUUUUUUAAUUGAGUGGAUUGAGUGAGUUGAAAAAGAUAGGAUUUCUGUGUGUUGUGGGUUCGAAAAGAUGAAGAAAAAUCAAAAAGAAAAACUGAUGUGGCAGUGAGUUUAGUGGGAACGACUCCCUCCUCCCUUAUAGCAACAAAUAUNUCAGAUUCCAUUGGGUUUGAUUCAUGGAAGGGUUACUCACAUUGUUUGGCCACCACAAAGAAUCAGAAAAAUUGAUAGAAGAAUCCCACAAGAGGGACUUGCAUAAACAUUCAUUCAAUGCAUUGUUUGUUAUUUAUGUACACUCAUCAAAUGCAUAAACAAAUCAGGCUUGAAAAAAAAUCAAAUUCUGCUGGUUUUAAAUCCCAGUAUCUGAAUUUGGUGGAUCUCAAAGGUUGUUUUUGAGUUAAGACCUGACAUGACAUGACGUGACAUAACAGACAAUCUGAUACAGUGUCCAUAACAACAGUUCAUUGUUAUGGACACUGACUGCGAUUGAGAUUGAUGUUAAUAGGACAAAAAUUACAAUGUCAAGUCUUGCUUAAAUGAUAGAACAAGGUGGGGUAUAGACACGUUCUGAACUUUUUAUUUGUGUAAAAUACGUGAAUGUCUUCAUCAUUAAAUAU
Molecule: long non-coding RNA, 2049 nt
Filed under: Lactuca sativa (garden lettuce)
Lineage: Eukaryota; Viridiplantae; Streptophyta; Magnoliopsida; Asterales; Asteraceae
Description: long non-coding RNA (LSAT_LNC005966)
Source: RNAcentral